RNAcentral lists this ribosomal RNA (482 nucleotides) under uncultured bacterium. RNAcentral's name for it is "partial 16S ribosomal RNA". It matches the Rfam family "Bacterial small subunit ribosomal RNA", at positions 30 to 507 of the family's 1533-position model. The record is from RNAcentral.
AUUGAACGCUGGCGGCAUGCCUUACACAUGCAAGUCGAACGGUAACAGGUCUUCGGAUGCUGACGAGUGGCGCACGGGUGAGUAAUACAUCGGAACGUGCCCGAUCGUGGGGGAUAACGGAGCGAAAGCUUUGCUAAUACCGCAUACGAUCUACGGAUGAAAGCAGGGGACCGCAAGGCCUUGCGCGGACGGAGCGGCCGAUGGCAGAUUAGGUAGUUGGUGGGAUAAAAGCUUACCAAGCCGACGAUCUGUAGCUGGUCUGAGAGGACGACCAGCCACACUGGGACUGAGACACGGCCCAGACUCCUACGGGAGGCAGCAGUGGGGAAUUUUGGACAAUGGGCGAAAGCCUGAUCCAGCCAUGCCGCGUGCAGGAUGAAGGCCUUCGGGUUGUAAACUGCUUUUGUACGGAACGAAAAGACUCUUUCAAAUAAAGAGGGUCCAUGACGGUACCGUAAGAAUAAGCACCGGCUAACUACGUG